GGAUGAGCCCGCGGCCUAUCAGCUUGUUGGUGAGGUAGUGGCUCACCAAGGCGACGACGGGUAGCCGGCCUGAGAGGGCGACCGGCCACACUGGGACUGAGACACGGCCCAGACUCCUACGGGAGGCAGCAGUGGGGAAUAUUGCACAAUGGGCGAAAGCCUGAUGCAGCGACGCCGCGUGAGGGAUGACGGCCUUCGGGUUGUAAACCUCUUUCAGCAGGGAAGAAGCGAGAGUGACGGUACCUGCAGAAGAAGCGCCGGCUAACUACGUGCCAGCAGCCGCGG
This 285-nucleotide ribosomal RNA is filed under the name Actinomycetes bacterium. RNAcentral's name for it is "Actinobacteria bacterium partial 16S ribosomal RNA". It matches the Rfam family "Bacterial small subunit ribosomal RNA", at positions 223 to 520 of the family's 1533-position model. Lineage: Bacteria; Bacillati; Actinomycetota; Actinomycetes. The record is from RNAcentral.